AAUUUCUUUAUCUGCAGAUGUCAACAGUGCCUCAUCCUCUUUAUUUCCACCAGAAUUUAUAUGGUGGGCCAGGGCUUGGUGAGCGGUGGUAAUUUCCUGUGCAGUAUAUACUGCCCUACUUGUGAGGAGCAUAUUGCUGUUCAAGGGUCAACAUGCAAACACAUGGGGGCAUUACUGAAACCAAUGGAUGUUACCUGGAGAAGCCAGCCUGAAAAUAUCUGGUGCAGUGGCGUUAUGAGGAGUCUUUCAUGGAGCAUGGACUACUCAUCAUCUGUGAAGCCCAGGGCAAGAAAUCAGAGAAUAUGUCCAUUGGUAGACAUGGAAGCACAUUGUCAAAGCUCAGAUAUCUCAUGGAAGAAACAGCCAGUUUUUCCUGCUUUUCAUUCCUGUGAUGAGGUUCAACUUUCUGAAACCCCAGCAGUUGG
RNAcentral lists this long non-coding RNA (425 nucleotides) under Equus caballus (horse). RNAcentral's name for it is "lncRNA (ENSECAG00000031681.3)". The record is from RNAcentral. Lineage: Eukaryota; Metazoa; Chordata; Mammalia; Perissodactyla; Equidae.